RNAcentral lists this ribosomal RNA (775 nucleotides) under uncultured bacterium. RNAcentral describes it as "bacterial SSU rRNA". It matches the Rfam family "Bacterial small subunit ribosomal RNA", at positions 41 to 806 of the family's 1533-position model. The record is from RNAcentral.
GGCAGGCCUAACACAUGCAAGUCGAGGGGCAGCACGGUGUAUCAAUACACUGGUGGCGACCGGCGCACGGGUGCGUAACGCGUAUGCUACCUACCCAUAACAGGGGGAUAACACUGAGAAAUUGGUACUAAUACCCCAUAACAUCAGGACCGGCAUCGGUUCUGGUUGAAAACUCCGGUGGUUAUGGAUGGCCAUGCGUUGUAUUAGCUGGUUGGUGAGGUAACGGCUCACCAAGGCAACCAUACAUAGGGGGACUGAGAGGUUACCCCCCCCACAUUUGGUAUUGAGACACGGACCCAAACUCCUACGGGAGGCAGCAGUGAGGAAUAUUGGUCAAGGGACGCAAGUCUGAACCAGCCAUGCCGCGUGCAGGAAGACGGCUCUAUGAGUUAGUAAACUGCUUUUGUACGAGGGUAAACGCUCUUACGUGUAAGAGCCUGAAAGUAUCGUACGAAUAAGGAUCGGCUAACUCCGUGCCAGCAGCCGCGGUAAUACGGAGGAUCCAAGCGUUAUCCGGAUUUAUUGGGUUUAAAGGGUGCGUAGGCGGUUUGAUAAGUUAGAGGUGAAAUACCGGUGCUUAACACCGGAACUGCCUCUAAUACUGUUGAACUAGAGAGUAGUUGCGGUAGGCGGAAUGUAUGGUGUAGCGGUGAAAUGCUUAGAGAUCAUACAGAACACCGAUUGCGAAGGCAGCUUACCAAACUAUAUCUGACGUUGAGGCACGAAAGCGUGGGGAGCAAACAGGAUUCGAUACCCUGGUAGUCCACGCAGUAAC